CCUACGGGUGGCUGCAGUGAGGAAUAUUGGUCAAUGGUCGUGAGACUGAACCAGCCAAGUAGCGUGAAGGAUGACUGCCCUACGGGUUGUAAACUGCUUUUAUGAAGGGAUAAAGUGAGGCACGUGUGCCGUUUUGUAUGUACUUCAUGAAUAAGGAUCGGCUAAUUCCGUGCCAGCAGCCGCGGUAAUACGGAGGAUCCGAGCGUUAUCCGGAUUUAUUGGGUUUAAAGGGAGCGUAGGUGGGUUGUUAAGUGAGUUGUGAAAUUUCGCGGCUCAACCGUAAAAUUGCAAUGGGUACUGGCAGUCUUGAGUACAGUGGAGGUAGGCGGAAUUCGUGGUGUAGCGGUGAAAUGCUUAGAUAUCACGAAGAACUCCGAUUGCGAAGGCAGCUUACUAAAGUGCUACUGACAUUGAUGCUCGAAAGUGUGGGUAUCAAACAGGAUUAGAUACCCGGGUAGUC
RNAcentral lists this ribosomal RNA (460 nucleotides) under uncultured bacterium. RNAcentral describes it as "partial 16S ribosomal RNA". It matches the Rfam family "Bacterial small subunit ribosomal RNA", at positions 338 to 795 of the family's 1533-position model. The record is from RNAcentral.